RNAcentral lists this long non-coding RNA (1211 nucleotides) under Phasianus colchicus (ring-necked pheasant). RNAcentral describes it as "lncRNA (ENSPCLG00000021331.1)". Lineage: Eukaryota; Metazoa; Chordata; Aves; Galliformes; Phasianidae. The record is from RNAcentral.
GGAGUUACCUGCCUUGGUUCCUGUCUGGUCCUAAGUGCUCUGUGCACAGAAAUUUGAAAAAUACUGUACAAGGAGAUAAACAAAUUAGCACGUUAGGACCAAUUCUUACACAGAUUUAAUAUUUGUGGCAGUUGUGCAUUUCCCCUUUGCAGGAUGAUGAAAACCAGAGGAAUUUUGUGUUAACAAUUAACAAGAUGAAGAGAAUUCUGUGUUAGCUUGACAACAUUUUCUCUCCAUUUUCUCGGAGUUCAGUAUUUAUUUUCUUUCCAAUCCAACAGCUGUUGGAGUGGAGGGGCACACCUUGUCAAUUGCUGAACGACCUCCUUUGUAAAUUGAGUGAGAGUGUGCGAUUUGCCCUGGAGCAUCUUUUCAGGCAUUCUGAAUUCUGCCACUGCCAUGACAGGAGCCUUUGGACUCAAGCUGCCAUGGUCCUUGAAGUCAUCAGCAGGGUGGGACAGGGCACCAGAUGGGCAAGGAGGCUACAGCUCCUGCAGGACCCAGAAGAAAUGUCCAGAUCCAGAGGGUGAGGAAUUCAUCCACCAGCUUCUGUCAGGUUGUGACUGUGCAGUCUGUUUCUUCUGGAAGAGCCCCAAGUGACAGUGUUCAAGUGGAUCAGAUCUGCCCCUACAUAGGAUUGCUAUCAGCCAACGUGAAUGACAGACUAGGACCUCUGCCUGAGAAAUACGUUGAGGAAAGCUGUGUGAAGAGACACAAGAAUUUGCAAAGUUGUCAAGUCUUCAAGCAACAGAGGUCGUACAAACCUACAGAUAGAUCAGAUUCCUGGAAAAUGCUGGCAAAUGGUCACCACUGGGGAGGCAAAGAACAUUGUGCCCAGCAUGGUGAAUCACCAUAAAGAGGUUCCUCCCAGCAGCCAUAGGAUGGUGGCACGUACUGCUCUGGUGUCCAAGAUGAUUUGAUGUAGAAUGUCUGCAAACAGGGCCUGAAAGGAGAGAAGUAUUCAAACAAGAACUGAAAUAUCAGACAACAAAGAUCAGAAGUAUCUGCUUUAAUGGAAGAAUUUUAUGGCAGGAAGAGCGGACACAGCCCUGGGCUUCCUCCCUGAGAUCCUUCCUGACCAGGAUGCCCUUCUGCAAGGGAGGAGCUGUGACCCUUGAAGGCCAUGUCUUGGCACAUCAGGACGUACUCAUGCGCAGCACAUACUUGUUGCUCCGUUGCAAAGCAGGUGAACUUCAAAACUGAAUAUGUAGGCC